Molecule: transfer RNA, 77 nt
Filed under: Marmota monax (woodchuck)
Lineage: Eukaryota; Metazoa; Chordata; Mammalia; Rodentia; Sciuridae
Description: tRNA.Leu
Source: RNAcentral
GUUGUGGCUCAGUGGUAGAGUGCUUGCCUAAUACAAGUGAGGCCCUGGGUUCCCUGGGUUCGAUCCUCAGCACCACA